Molecule: ribosomal RNA, 490 nt
Filed under: uncultured bacterium
Lineage: Bacteria
Description: partial 16S ribosomal RNA
Rfam family: Bacterial small subunit ribosomal RNA
Source: RNAcentral
AUUGAACGCUGGCGGCAGGCUUAACACAUGCAAGUCGAGCGGUAGCACAGGGGAGCUUGCUCCCUGGGUGACGAGCGGCGGACGGGUGAGUAAUGUCUGGGAAACUGCCUGAUGGAGGGGGAUAACUACUGGAAACGGUAGCUAAUACCGCAUAACGUCGCAAGACCAAAGAGGGGGACCUUCGGGCCUCUUGCCAUCAGAUGUGCCCAGAUGGGAUUAGCUAGUAGGUGGGGUAAUGGUUCACCUAGGCGACGAUCCCUAGCUGGUCUGAGAGGAUGACCAGCCACACUGGAACUGAGACACGGUCCAGACUCCUACGGGAGGCAGCAGUGGGGAAUAUUGCACAAUGGGCGCAAGCCUGAUGCAGCCAUGCCGCGUGUGUGAAGAAGGCCUUCGGGUUGUAAAGCACUUUCAGCGAGGAGGAAGGUGGUGAGCUUAAUACGUUCAUCAAUUGACGUUACUCGCAGAAGAAGCACCGGCUAACUCCGUG